UGGGGAAUUUUGGACAAUGGGCGAAAGCCUGAUCCAGCAAUGCCGCGUGUGUGAAGAAGGCCUUCGGGUUGUAAAGCACUUUUGUCCGGAAAGAAAUCCUUGGCUCUAAUACAGUCGGGGGAUGACGGUACCGGAAGAAUAAGCACCGGCUAACUACGUGCCAGCAGCCGCGGUAAUACGUAGGGUGCAAGCGUUAAUCGGAAUUACUGGGCGUAAAGCGUGCGCAGGCGGUUUGCUAAGACCGAUGUGAAAUCCCCGGGCUCAACCUGGGAACUGCAUUGGUGACUGGCAGGCUAGAGUAUGGCAGAGGGGGGUAGAAUUCCACGUGUAGCAGUGAAAUGCGUAGAGAUGUGGAGGAAUACCGAUGGCGAAGGCAGCCCCCUGGGCCAAUACUGACGCUCAUGCACGAAAAGCGUGGGGGAGCAAACAGGAUUAGAUACCCUGGUAGUCCACGCCCUAAAACGAUGUCAACUAGUUGUUGGGGGAUUCAUUUCCUUAGUAACGUAGCUAACGCGUGAAGUUGACCGCCUGGGGAGUACGGUCGCAAGAUUAAAACUCAAAUGAAUUGACGGGGUCAUAGCUGUUUCCU
This 589-nucleotide ribosomal RNA is filed under the name uncultured bacterium. RNAcentral describes it as "partial 16S ribosomal RNA". It matches the Rfam family "Bacterial small subunit ribosomal RNA", at positions 355 to 1375 of the family's 1533-position model. The record is from RNAcentral.